GUCCUAGCCGUAAACGAUGGACACUAGGUGUUGGUGGUAUCAACCCCGCCAGUGCCGAAGCUAACGCAUUAAGUGUCCCGCCUGGGGAGUACGGCCGCAAGGCUAAAACUCAAAGGAAUUGACGGGGGCCCGCACAAGCAGCGGAGCGUGGGGUUUAAUUCGACGCAACGCGAAGAACCUUACCAGGGCUUGACAUGACCAGGAUCCCGGCGGAAACGUCGGUUCCCCGCAAGGGGCCUGGCCACAGGUGUUGCAUGGCUGUCGU
RNAcentral lists this ribosomal RNA (265 nucleotides) under uncultured bacterium. Its description in RNAcentral is "partial 16S ribosomal RNA". It matches the Rfam family "Bacterial small subunit ribosomal RNA", at positions 793 to 1055 of the family's 1533-position model. The record is from RNAcentral.